CCUGGAUAUGGGAAAGCCAACCAGGCCUGGGGUUCACAGUUCAGGACUGAAAUAGUUGUUUCCCCUUAUCACUAUAAUGUGAUACAGUACAACACAAGAGUGACGUGGUUGUGUAGCAGAAAUACAAAGUCAUAGCCUGAAGCAGUGAUGGAGCACCUGGUGGGAAGGCAGGGCCAGCCAGGGGAGCUCAGGUGUGUGCAAUGCACUGAGUGACCAGAAGGGAAGGAGUCAGGAUCCACCCCUUCUCAGACCCCAUUUAAGGGUCGGCAGUGGAAGUAAAGGUGUUUUGCUGGAGAUCCUUGCCUACUUGAGGUCUUCUAAAGCCUUAGAAGAUGAGGGCUGUACGGCUGUGUUUUACCUGGCUGUAAGGAGAGGCAUGCAGGAAGGCAAGGAGGGGUUUGCAGCUGGCAGAGCAACUGCUCCAGAAGAGUUUGUCUUCUCCCAUCUGCAACUGGGAACUCUGCUUCUAGAGAGGAAUCCCGUCAAAGAGCUGCCAGCAGAAUUUAUUUCCCACAUUGAUAUUAAGGUGCGUGGAAUUCCUACGUUACGCAACAUACAUCCCUCUCUUCCGUUCCCACUGGCUGCGUGGAUGACAGGUACCAAGAAAAGGAUGCCAGCUCGCCUGCUGUGUUUGGGAUUUUGCUCAAGGCACAGCGAUUGGAAAGGAGCACUGCAGGCUUUUCAGGACAGGCUCUGUUGGGCAGCAGCGUGGCGAUGACAGAUGGCUGGAGGCACUCGCGCAGGCUGGCUGCGGGCAGGCUCUGCAGAGCUGUGUAUAUCCUCAUUAGUGAGCAGUGCGGCGAUGCCCUGACUGUGUAGGAGUGGCCCCAGCCAUCCCGGUCUGUUCUGCCAGCUCUGCUUGCACAGCGUUCCGCAGCGUUUGCCUUAAUCACUUGCCUGUAUCCUCUGCGGUGUUUUUUGGUGGCAGGGGUCUGAGAUGCAGCUGGUUGGAGCGUACUGGGUGCUGCUGUCCUGCCUUGCUCUGAGUGAUCUGUCAGCUCCCUUGGCAGAGGCUGUGUGUCCAUGGCACUGCCACCUACAGUGUAGUAUUUAUAGACAGAUGGAGACGUGAUGUGCAGAACUAUGCCUCCUCCAGCUCCACAGCAGCUGAGCUGCUUCACACUUCACUCCUCGCACAGUGGACAGCAUGGGACGAGAUGGCACAGUGAUCUGAACCUCACUGCAGGACGGUGGGUUGCCUUGAUCUGAGUUACUGCAGGCUUUGCAUUCUAUGCUGUGCAGCUGUGCCUGUCAGGACUUCCAGGUCCUCUGCAUGCCCCAGGCAGCUUCUCCAUGCCGUGGGGCCUCGGGAGGCUGCCCAGAAAGCUGGAAGAGAGAUGGGAGGAUCUGUGCCUGUGACAUGGCGUGUGGUUGUCAAAGCCUGAUGCAUCUUUUCAAAACACUCCUGGUUUGACAGGACAGCUUUUCUUUCCUACCAAGUCAUGUUUCAUGAGCUAUUCCCAGCCUACUCUUCCUCCUACCUUUCCCUAUUGCUCUCUUGUCCGUAUGUUUGCCAUCCUAACCACCUAUAGCAAGAAACAGAGUAGGAGCUAAUGCUGACAGCUUCAGCACCACCUCAGCUACCACCCUGCAGUGUCCGUUCAAUGCUGCUUUUGUCUUCUCUGUUUUUCGGUUGGUAGAACACCAGUUUUAUGAUGCUUAUAUCACAAACACCAAACAAAACGUUUGCAAUAUAAACUGAGAUGUUUUUGUAGGCUGAUACAGGAUAACUCCAUCUCAGCUGCCAGUCUUUGUUUCUUGUGUGGUUUCUCAACUGUAUCUGGAAUGAAUAUGCCAUGUUUACAUUCAUCUACCAAACGUUUUAUGUUCUGUGAAUGAAGAAUCUCUGCAAGGGGAGCAGAAAUCUAAGUGGUAACAGAACAGUUUUGUUGUUUACCCAUGGCCGUUCCCAGAGUGUUUAUCCUGUUUCACCAGAUCCAUGUACAAUUACCAUGAGUUCUGAAUUUAAUUAUUUGAGGAAAAAAAGUUGUCAGCCAUCAGGUGACCUCAGAUUUCAGUGGCCCUGAGCCAGCCGGGCUGUGCUGGGGCCCAGUGUGUGUGCCUUCCCCUCCCAGGGCUGCCAGUGGCUCACUGAAGGAGUCAGGAAGGUUACUGAGCUCUGGGUAAGCCACCAGACUGCC
Numida meleagris (helmeted guineafowl) is the source of this 2141-nucleotide long non-coding RNA. RefSeq lists it as uncharacterized. The record is from RefSeq and is a predicted model, not a curated record. Lineage: Eukaryota; Metazoa; Chordata; Aves; Galliformes; Numididae. The transcript is spliced from 4 exons.